UUGUUUUAUCUUUUAUUUUUUAUGAUGACUCCGAGUGCAUUUGGCUCGAGACGUAAUGUCGAUGUGGAAAAACCCAAGCUACCUUUAUUUUUUUGUCUGAUA
RNAcentral lists this small nucleolar RNA (102 nucleotides) under Candida tropicalis MYA-3404. The record is from RNAcentral. Lineage: Eukaryota; Fungi; Ascomycota; Pichiomycetes; Serinales; Debaryomycetaceae.